This 90-nucleotide transfer RNA is filed under the name Marinilabiliaceae bacterium JC017. Its description in RNAcentral is "tRNA-Ser". It matches the Rfam family "tRNA". From Rfam's summary of the family: Transfer RNA (tRNA) molecules are approximately 80 nucleotides in length. The record is from RNAcentral. Lineage: Bacteria; Pseudomonadati; Bacteroidota; Bacteroidia; Marinilabiliales; Marinilabiliaceae.
GGAGAGGUGACAGAGUGGCCGAUUGUGCACGCCUGGAAAGCGUGUGUACGGGUGACCGUACCGGGGGUUCGAAUCCCCCCCUCUCCGCAA